AGAAGUCUUAAUGAGGAAGUGGGUUCCUGAGCCAAUACAUUGGAGUGUUGGUAUUAAUUCACUGAUUUGGUUUAAAUUCUCAUAAUGCAAUCAUUUUACCUCUAAUCUUUCUUGCAUUAUCUCAUAUAUGAGCUUUUGAGGGGGCACCUCACAUCUAAACCACAACAGGUACACUCUUACAUUAUUAGUGGACUGCAAGUUAAUGCAACCACUCUGAAAGGCAGUGUUAAGAUUUCUCAAAAAAACUAGAAAUGGAACCACCAUAUGACCAGCUAUCCUGCUCUUCAGUAUAUUUCCCCCAAAUCUAAAAUCAGCAUACUAUAGGGACGAAGCCUUAUCAGUGUUUAUAGCAACACAAUUCACACUAUUUAAACUAUGAAACAAAUGUAAGUGCCCUUCGAUGGAUUAAUGGAUAAAGAAAAGGUAGUAUAUACACACACAAUGGGGUAUUACUUAGUCAUUAAAAAAAUGAAAUUAUGUCAUUUGCUGGUAAAUGGAUGGAAUUGGAGAAUGCUAAGUGAAAUAAGUCAGACCCAGUAAGUCAAAAGUUGAAGGUCUUCUUUGAUACACAGAAACUAAUCUAAAAUAAGAGGGGGAAAGAGAGUGCAAAAAUAGAUGGGAUUUCAUCAAAAUAAAAGAAAGAUCAGGGGAGUAGAAGAAAGGGAUAACGGGACAAGGGAGGAGAGAAUGAGGUAAGAUUAAAAAUAGUAGAAUUAAUCUGAACUGACUUUCCAAUAUACAUAUAUGAAUAUACUACAGUAAAUCUCUCCAUUAUGUAUAUCCACAAGACAAUUGUUAAAAAAUGUAAAUAAUAAUAAUUAAAAAAACUUUUGCACAGCAAAGGAAAUCAUUAAGAAUGUGAUGAAAGAACCUACAAAAUGAGAGAAAAUCUUUGUCAGUUACUCCUCUGACAGGGUAUUAAUAUCCAGAAUAUAUAAACAACACAAAAACACCAGAAAAACCCAACAACAAAGAACUCAAUCAAUAAAUGGGCAAAGGAACUAAACAGACAUUUCUUAAAAGGGGAAAUAGCAACUUGGAUAGAACUAGCAGUCAUAUUCAUUGAAAUUAAUAAACAUAGAAAGACAAGUAAGUAUAUGUUUUCACACAUUUGUUACAAAUAUUUGAUUUGCCAUAAUAUACCCUAUAAAGAUAUACAAAUACUUGGUCUGAAUAAAAUUUGUUUAAUCUGGAGGGAAAUGUGUUUUGUGAGAUGUCUGAAUGCCACCUUUGCCUUUGUGUUAUUUCUAGUAAUAAGCUGUAAUAAUAUUUAAUGAUAUUAUUUUACUAUUUAAAACUGCAAAUGACAUCAGAAUUUUGUUCCGUAAUACUCUUGUUAGUAAAUAGGAUAUUUCAGUGGUUAGAAUUUACAUUUUCCUGGUUUUAAAGCUAAAAUGUUGAGUGAAAGGAUUGACUUCAUGUUCUAUUCCAUCUCCUUUCAUGUAACUUUAUUUUAAGUUUUAUAUAGAGCCCAGAUUUUUCAUAAGAAUUCAUAUUUUGAGAGUGGAUGGAAAACUCAUUUCUCUCAUACUUUGUUGGUAUUAACUGAUCUUUUUAUAUUGUUCCUUAAUGUUAAAGCCUUAAACUUUUACAAUGAAGUUAGAUUUUCUUUAAUCAUGUACAUGACUAAUGUUUAGAUAUUCUUCUACCCGAAGUUGUAACAGUCUGUGCACACAUAUGGAUCCCCACACACUAGUAUUAUUUUGUUGGUUAGUAUUCAGAUGUUUUUAUAGGUUUUAUUUCAUAAGUAGGAACCACCGAAAUUUUACUGCUCUGCAAAUUUCCUUGUUCCCAUUUUGAUUAUUCUUACUGCAUCCUCAGGCAAUGAGUCACUUGAAAGUUGGAUAUUGGGAAGAGCUUUGGUUCUUGUGUCCCUCAUUUUAAAAUGACCUUUUUCUUUUGUCUUCAUUAUAUAAUUAAAUUAUCUAUCAUAUGCUUUCCAGGUAUAUGGAUCAAUGUUAACACAUUUAAGUACAGAUGUACAUUCAUAUGCUUUACCUCAGAGAACAUAUCCCAUGUACAUAACUAAUCAUUGCAAAGUCGGGUAUUGGCUUGUGUUUACUGAUGUUCUCACAACACAGGUCUGUAGCUCCACUCCAGGCACAGCUCUGCAGUCAAGUGAGAGACUUAUCUGGAUGUUUCUGGAUAUCAAAAGUUUCCUGUGGCAGAAAAAAAAAGAAAUUUUGAGAGAAGCAGUGAUGUAUAGGUUCCCUCAUUUAUAAGUAACUUCUGGAAUCCAAAUGUUAUUUGCCCUGAUAUUGAAAUGAGUUUGGUGUUUAGUGCUACCUGAGACCUUCUCAUCCAUGAACAGUAAAUAACCUCCCAGGAACAUAUAAGUCUCCCUUCUCAUUCUCCUGAGACAUUUGAAGGGCCAAUUUAGAGUAAUAAAGCCUAAGCACCCAGCACAUAUUCAAGAGUAAAUUACUCUUGAAUAAAAUUAAAUUUUGUUCUAUUCCAAAGGACUAUCUGGAAGAUAGCUGUAAUGUUUUUGUUUUGUUUGUUUGUUUUUAAAUAAACUUUAGUUUUCCCUUUAGUAAAGGAAUGUUAAUAUUAUACAAGAUACAUCUGCAGAUUUUUACAUUUUCCUUUCUCACUGAGUAGUGUCAGUUUCUCCCACAUUCUGAUGGUGUCACAGCCUUUUGAGUUGUAAUUGAAAUGAACUGCUUGAGUGACAGACAAUGUUACAGCCUCAGCACUCAUUUGAAUCUGACAUAAAGAAUAAUUGAACCCGGUACUGCAUUGUUCACCCUGCUUCUAGCUACUCAGGAGGCUGAGGCAAGGAAAUCACUUCAUCUUGGGAAUUCAAGACCAGCCCCUAAAACAUAGUGAGAUCCCAUCUCAAAAAAAAAAAAAAAAAAAAGAAGAAGAAGAAUAAUAAGAAAGAAAAACAAUAUCUGAAUAUUCUAUUGCAUAGUCUUGUUUAGAGCUUAUAUUAUGGAAAGUGGAAAAUACCAAAAUUAACCAUUUUUUUCCCUGCUUAGUUAACAGUAGUCUUAAGAAGGAGCACCUCAUGGGUCUUUGGGACUUGUGCCCUUGAAAGUCUCCCACAGCAUCCCCAGAAAUCUCCACAUGCUACCCAAACAUGAAAGUCACUGAGAAGGUCCUUCAUAGUUUAAUCAAUUCUGCCACUGGACAGCCUUCACAUUAAUCUAGUUUCUUCUCUUUAUGCAUGCUUUCAUUCAUAUUUCUUUAAGUUAAGGCCACUUUAUCAGAGGUCAAAAAAACCUAUCCAUCUGUCAUCAAUCUGCAUUUCUACAUCUAUUGAAGACAUUCUCUUCCAACUAAUUAAUGGUCUUUUCCUUUUAGCAUAAGAAUGGGGCAGACUAAAACUUUAAGUGCUUCUUCUGUUCCAAGCCCUACAGUAGAAGCAGAGAGAUUACUGAUGAGUAGGACACAGACAUUGUUCUUGGAAACCCAACCCUCUAGUGGGAGAGUCAAUCAUAUGAGUCAAAUAGGAAACUACCUGGUGGAGGGCUGUAUUGUAGACAUCCACACUAAGAGCCAGAAAUGUGAAGAACAUGGUUGAAAUAGCUUACACUGCCUGAGAAAACUGAAGAAGAAAAAACAUAGUCAUUUCAACUGAAGGUGUUUGCCAGCAAAGAGUGGAUGGGGGUUGGGGUGAGUGGGCAGGAGUAACCUAGAAACUAAAGUCACACAAAUACAUGUUUUAUACUUGAAUAUUUUGUACCUAACAAACAAUGGGAAUGAAAUGAGUCUUAUAAAACACCCUUAAACACUUUUUCCCAGGCUGAUAAUUCUCUUUCAACCAUUGCUAUUUGUCAUAUUUUCCGAAUUUUCAUCAUCUUGGCUACCUUUCUUUGUGUGCAGUGGUUUUUUCUACCCAAAGAAAGGAUCCAGAACCGAAGACUUUUUGCAGGUCUGGUCUCAUUAGUGUGGACCACAGAGACACCAUCACUUCCCAGUUCUGAAUGCCAUAAUUUUAUAAAUGCAACCAAAGUUUCCAUUAAUUUUAUAUUUUAGUCAUUUUGAUCCAGUACAUGUCCUGAUAACCUCAGGUUUUUAUUGUCACUGGAUUUCCUAAAGCAAACCAUUUUAUCCUUAGCCAAAAUAUAAAAGUGAUGUCUGUCAAAAUUAACCUUCCCUUUUGCUAUUAAUCUAUCAGCCUUAUUUCUUUAGUUAUGGCCACUUUAUCAGAGAUCAAAAAAACCUAUCCAUCUGUCAUUAAUCUGCAUUUCUACAUCUAUUGAAGACAUUCUCUUCCAUCUAAUUAAUGGUCUUUUCCUUUUAGCAUAAGAAUGGGGCAGACUAAGAACCCAGUGUUUUUGCCCUCAGUCGCCUUCCCAGUCGCCUUCCCAUAUGCUAACUUACACCAACUACUGUAUCAUACCAUAUUUAUGGGAGAAUGAGCUGGAAGGGUGCAGAAGUGGGGUUGGCAUUUUAUACCCUGAAUGAUUAAAAAUUCUCUGGGGAUUUGUUAAACCAAUUUCACUGCUAAUUAUGUGGAUGUCUCUCUAACACAUGAGUCAGAAUCAGCUUCUCAUUUGACAAAAAAAAAG
This 4517-nucleotide long non-coding RNA is filed under the name Marmota monax (woodchuck). Lineage: Eukaryota; Metazoa; Chordata; Mammalia; Rodentia; Sciuridae. The record is from RNAcentral.